CCUACGGGAGGCAGCAGUGGGGAAUAUUGGACAAUGGGGGAAACCCUGAUCCAGCGACGCCGCGUGAGUGAAGAAGUAUUUCGGUACUUAAAGCUCUAUCAGCAGGAAAGAAAAUGACGGUACCUGACUAAGAAGCCCCGGCGAACUACGUGCCAGCACGCGCGGUAAUACGGAGGGGGCAAGCGUUAUCCGGAUGUACUGGGUGUAAAGGGAGCGUAGACGGCAGCGCAAGUCUGGAGUGAAAUGCCGGGGGCCAACCCCGGAACUGCUCUGGAAACUGUGAAGCUGGAGUGCAGGAGAGGUAAGCGGAAUUCGUGGUGUAGCGGUGAAAUGCGUAGAUAUCAGGAGGAACACCGACGGCGAAGGCAGCUUACUGGACUGUAACUGACGUUGAGGCUCGAAGGCGUGGGGAGCAAACAGGAUUAGAUACCCGAGUAGUC
This 440-nucleotide ribosomal RNA is filed under the name uncultured bacterium. RNAcentral's name for it is "partial 16S ribosomal RNA". It matches the Rfam family "Bacterial small subunit ribosomal RNA", at positions 338 to 795 of the family's 1533-position model. The record is from RNAcentral.